GGCAUGUUGUCAAGGGGCUAAUGAAAAAAUUGCUGUCAGCAUCCAACAAAAAGGACAACCGAGACCUGCAACCAUGGAUAAAAUCCAUCUGCAAUCACUUGUGGUACGCCUGUUCCACUUGUGGAGGUGACCCUGAUGGAAGCUUGAAGUAUUCCAUGCAUCUAUGCUGAAAUACACAGAGAAGAGACUGCACUUCCACUACUCAACAAUGAAAGCUCGCACCCAGCUUGCCGUUAUGGACCACAAUGAAAAUGUUCAGCGUGAACAGGCCUACACCAACACAGGACAAGCACGGUUCAAUGUGGUUUACCCAAGACAAACAAAAGAAUGGGUCGCCAAAAAGAUCUAUGUUCCAACAACACAAACAUUCCGGCAAAAUCUGGUGGUGCAAGUUGUGCGGAGACGCCUGGACCCCAACAUCAAGAUCAAAGACCCCCAGUCAUAUGUUUCUAUCCCUCCCAUACCAGAAAACAUUGCUCAGAAACCAAAACCUGCCAAAGAGGAAGCCAUACAAAAACAUACUUCCCGAUACAGCAGUUAGUCUGAGUGGUGCAGUAUUUUUACUCUUGCCUUUUUAUAUUUGUACUUAUGCAAAUAAAAAGUCUAGCUGGUGGCAUGUAA
Molecule: long non-coding RNA, 621 nt
Organism: Cyprinodon tularosa
Lineage: Eukaryota; Metazoa; Chordata; Actinopteri; Cyprinodontiformes; Cyprinodontidae
Exons: 4
Source: RefSeq, a predicted model, not a curated record